Molecule: non-coding RNA, 1399 nt
Organism: Cicer arietinum (chickpea)
Lineage: Eukaryota; Viridiplantae; Streptophyta; Magnoliopsida; Fabales; Fabaceae
Source: RefSeq, a predicted model, not a curated record
GAUUCUUCCAUUUAUCAUUUGAUUUCUUAUUUGAAUUUGAAUGUAAAAUGUGACCACUUAAAGGAGGAGAAAAAUGAUUUUCGUGAACUAUAGUGAAUUAGGGUUUUGAUUUUCUUCUGAUUUAGGGUUUUUCUUGUGAUUUAGUGUUUUUGUGUGUUGUUUUUUUGAACAUUUUCAAUUUGCAAAUUGCUUUAGUUGCAGAUAUCAGUGUUUUCUGUAAUUGAAGUCUAUUGUCAAAUUGAAUGAGCCAAAGAGUUCUCGAAAUUAAUUUUAUGUUUACUAGUAUUAUUUACCGACCAAAAAUGCUUCAUUUAUUAGUUAAUGGUAUUCAUUACUUUAUUCUAUGAAUCAACAUGCAAAUCUUGCCUUUUCUUUCUUUUGCUCUUGCAUUGCUCACUUAACUGUGUUUAAAACCUCUUACUUACCUUGACAGUUGAGAUUCUUCUUCAGGGGCUAUGUGGUGUUCAAAGAGAACGAUUGAGGAUCCAUAAAAUAUGUCGCAAGAAAGGUCCAAAUCUCGGUGAGUAUUUUCUUCCAAUACUUUGUUAUGCUACAGCCAACAAUACUUUGUUUAACCGGUUGCUUCGCUAUUAAUGUAUUGUUAAUAUAAUUUGAAAGAAUAUGCAGAAGAUAGAUCUCUUGAUAUUGCUUGCUCUAUAUUGAACUUUUAAUGACUAGUGUUUUGUUUUUACUUCUUUUCAGUGCUUCUUCCCUCAGAAUUUGAUUAUCAGUGUUAGAACCCCACUCUUUCUUCUUAAUGCUGCUUAUGAUUCAUGGCAGAUCCAAUCUAGUUUAGCUCCUCCAUCAACAGAUCCCCAUGGACAUUAGCAUGAUUGCAGAUUAAACCAUGCUAAAUGUAUUAGGCCACAAAACCAAUUUCUGCAAGGAAUCACAUGCUGAAUUCUGCUAAAGAUUUCUCAAGAUCAAAACAUAAUGGACUGUUUAUUAAUUCGUGUUUUGCGUACUGCCAAACCGAGAGGCAGGAUACAUGGUUUUCAGAUAAUUCUCCAGCUGUUGGGAACAAGGUAAUUGCUUUAGCUGUUGGAGACUGGUUUUUGGACUGAGAAGGUGUUACAGUCAUUGAUUGUCCUUAUCCUUGUGAUAAUACAUGUCACUAUUUGGUUUUCUGUUGAGCCAAAGUUCAUCCAUCAUCAUCAGUGGAGGAUUAGCUAUUUGAGAAUGUUGGGGCAAAUCCAUCCUCAUCAUCAUAUGUAUUAUUGAGCCGUAGGAGGGAUCCAACUCAUAUCUAUAGUUAGAUUGUUACUAUUUGUAAUAUUUCAAAUUUAGCUUGAUUAUAAAGAUGUUUAUCCAAACAAUUAAGACAAAAGGGUAAGUUUAUUGAUGUAUUUAUGAGAAUAAUAUAAAUAUACGAGUCAUUUAUAUAGAAAUUUUAUAAUGA